GACGAACGCUGGCGGCGUGCUUAACACAUGCAAGUCGAACGGAAAGGCCCUGCUUUUGUGGGGUGCUCGAGUGGCGAACGGGUGAGUAACACGUGAGUAACCUGCACUUGACUUUGGGAUAACUUCAGGAAAAUGGGGCUAAUACCGGAUAGGAGAUCCUGAUGCAUGGUGGGGGUUGGAAAGAUUCGGCGGUUGGGGCUGGAAUAGCGGCUUAUCAGCUUGUUGGUGGGGUUGUGGCUUACAAAGGCUUUGACGGGUAGCCGGCCUGAGAGGGUGACCGGCCACAUUGGGACUGCGAUACGGACCAGACUCCUACGUGAGGCAGCAGUGGGGAAUAUUGCACAAUGGGCGGAAGCCUGAGGCAGCAACGCCGCGUGCGGGAUGACGGCCUUCGGGUUGUAAACCGCUUUCGCCGGUGACGAAGCGUGAGUGACGGUAAUGGGUAAAGAAGCACCGGCUAACUACGUG
This 468-nucleotide ribosomal RNA is filed under the name uncultured bacterium. RNAcentral's name for it is "partial 16S ribosomal RNA". It matches the Rfam family "Bacterial small subunit ribosomal RNA", at positions 28 to 507 of the family's 1533-position model. The record is from RNAcentral.